Molecule: ribosomal RNA, 256 nt
Filed under: uncultured bacterium
Lineage: Bacteria
Description: partial 16S ribosomal RNA
Rfam family: Bacterial small subunit ribosomal RNA
Source: RNAcentral
UACGAGGGAUGGAGACGUUGUUCGGAAUUACUGGGCGUAAAGCGCACGUAGGCGGACCAGCAAGUUAGGGGUGAAAUCCCGGGGCUCAACCCCGGAACUGCCUUUAAAACUGUUGGUCUGGAGGUCGAGAGAGGUGAGUGGAAUUCCGAGUGUAGAGGUGAAAUUCGUAGAUAUUCGGAGGAACACCAGUGGCGAAAGGCGGCUCACUGGCUCGAUACUGACGCUGAGGUGCGAAAGCGUGGGGAGGCAAACAGGA